RNAcentral lists this ribosomal RNA (908 nucleotides) under uncultured bacterium. Its description in RNAcentral is "bacterial SSU rRNA". It matches the Rfam family "Bacterial small subunit ribosomal RNA", at positions 14 to 916 of the family's 1533-position model. The record is from RNAcentral.
UGAUCCUGGCUCAGAGCGAACGUGGCCAGUGUGUCUUAAGCAUGCAAGUCGAACGGCAGCAGCCCAUAUAGCAAUAUAUGUNGCUGGCGAGUGGCGAACUGGUGAGUAACGCGUAAGAAUCUACCCUCUGGUGGGGGAUAACUCAUGGAAACAUGAGCUAAUACCGCAUGAAGCCGAACCCAUAGUGAUAUGAGCUUGGUAAAAGGAGAAAUCCGCCAGUGGAUGAGCUUGCGUCCCAUUAGCUAGUUGGUAGGGUAAGAGCCUACCAAGGCGAUGAUGGGUAGCUGGCCUGAGAGGGUGGUCAGCCACACUGGGACUGAGAUACGGCCCAGACUCCUACGGGAGGCAGCAGCUAAGAAUCUUCCUCAAUGGGGGAAACCCUGAAGGAGCGACACUGCGUGCAGGAUGAAGGCCCUUUGGGUUGUAAACUGCUUUUGUAGGGGAGAAAUAACCGAAUGGGAUGAUAGUACCCUACGAAUAAGUCCCGGCUAACUACGUGCCAGCAGCCGCGGUAAAACGUAAGGGGCGAACGUUGCUCGGAAUUACUGGGCGUAAAGGGCCGGUAGGUGGCUUUGUAAGUCAGUUGUCAAAUACCCAUGCUCAACGUGGGAGAGGCGACUGAUACUGUAGAGCUUGAGUAGAGGAGGGGAUGACGGAAUACCCGGUGUAGGGGUGAAAUCUGUUGAUAUCGGGUAGAACACCGAUGGCGAAAGCGGUCAUCUAGCCUCAUACUGACACUCAACGGCGAAAGCCAGGGGAGCGAACGGGAUUAGAUACCCCGGUAGUCCUGGCCAUAAACGAUGCAUGCUAGGUAUUGGCACCGCGUUGGUGAUAGUACCGUAGCUUACGCGUUAAGCAUGCCGCCUGGGGAGUAUGCUCGCAAGAGUGAAACUCAAAGGAAUUGACGG